GAUGAACGCUGGCGGCGUGCUUAACACAUGCAAGUCGAACGAAGCAUUUUGAAGGAAGCCUUCGGGUGAAAUGAGAAAUGACUGAGUGGCGGACGGGUGAGUAACGCGUGGGUAACCUGCCUUAUACAGGGGGAUAACAGUUGGAAACGACUGCUAAUACCGCAUAUGCUCGUAGGAUCGCAUGAUCUAGUGAGGAAAGAUUUAUCGGUAUAAGAUGGACCCGCGUCUGAUUAGCUAGUUGGUGAGGUAAUGGCUCACCAAGGCGACGAUCAGUAGCCGACUUGAGAGAGUGAUCGGCCACAUUGGGACUGAGACACGGCCCAAACUCCUACGGGAGGCAGCAGUGGGGAAUAUUGCACAAUGGGGGAAACCCUGAUGCAGCGACGCCGCGUGAGUGAAGAAGUAUUUCGGUAUGUAAAGCUCUAUCAGCAGGGAAGAUAAUGACGGUACCUGACUAAGAAGCCCCGGCUAACUACGUGCCAGCCGCCGCAGUAA
RNAcentral lists this ribosomal RNA (495 nucleotides) under uncultured bacterium. RNAcentral's name for it is "partial 16S ribosomal RNA". It matches the Rfam family "Bacterial small subunit ribosomal RNA", at positions 28 to 523 of the family's 1533-position model. The record is from RNAcentral.